GAUGAAGAACGUAGCGAAACGCGAUAAGUAAUGUGAAUUGCAGAAUCCAGUGAAUCAUCGAAUCUUUGAACGCACAUUGCGCCCGCCAGCAUUCUGGCGGGCAUGCCUGUUCGAGCGUCAUUUCAACCCUCGACCUCCCCUUGGGGAGGUCGGCGUUGGGGACCGGCAGCACGCCGCCGGCCCUGAAAUGGAGUGGCGGCCCGUCCGCGGCGACCUCUGCGCAGUAAUACAGCUCGCACCGGGACCCCGACGCGGCCACGCCGUAAAACACCCAACUUCUGAACGUUGACCUCGAAUCAGGUAGGACUACCCGCUGAACUUAAGCAUAUCAAUAAGCGGAGGA
Molecule: unclassified non-coding RNA, 343 nt
Filed under: soil metagenome
Description: partial contains 5.8S ribosomal RNA, internal transcribed spacer 2, and large subunit ribosomal RNA
Rfam family: 5.8S ribosomal RNA (bases 1-120)
Source: RNAcentral